This 479-nucleotide ribosomal RNA is filed under the name uncultured bacterium. RNAcentral's name for it is "partial 16S ribosomal RNA". It matches the Rfam family "Bacterial small subunit ribosomal RNA", at positions 28 to 507 of the family's 1533-position model. The record is from RNAcentral.
GACGAACGCUGGCGGCGUGCUUAACACAUGCAAGUCGAACGAAGCUUGAUUACGGAUUCUUCGGAUGUAGUAUGAUAUGACUGAGUGGCGGACGGGUGAGUAACUCGUGAGUAACCUGGCCUUCAGAGGGGGAUAGCGAUCGGAAACGAACGGUAAUACCGCACAAUGUAUUUUGACCGCAUGAUCGAAAUACCAAAGAUUUAUCGCUGAAGGUUGGACUCGCUUCUGAUUAGGGAGAUGGUGGGGUAACGCCCUACCAAGCCGACGAUCAGUAGCCGGAGUAAGAGGUUGCGCGGCAGCCUUGGAACUGAGGCACGGGCCGGGCUUCUACGGGAGGGAGCAGAAGGGAGUAUUACAAAAGGGGCGCGAGCCAGGAGCAGCAACGCCGCGUGAAGGAAGACGGUUUUCGAAUAGUAAACUUCUGUUCUUAGUGGAGAAUAAUGACGGUACCUAAGGAGCAAGCCACGGCUAACUACGUG